RNAcentral lists this ribosomal RNA (272 nucleotides) under uncultured bacterium. Its description in RNAcentral is "partial 16S ribosomal RNA". It matches the Rfam family "Bacterial small subunit ribosomal RNA", at positions 525 to 796 of the family's 1533-position model. The record is from RNAcentral.
ACGUAGGUGGCAAGCGUUGUCCGGAAUUAUUGGGCGUAAAGCGCGCGCAGGCGGUUCCUUAAGUCUGAUGUGAAAGCCCCCGGCUCAACCGGGGAGGGUCAUUGGAAACUGGGGAACUUGAGUGCAGAAGAGGAAAGUGGAAUUCCACGUGUAGCGGUGAAAUGCGUAGAGAUGUGGAGGAACACCAGUGGCGAAGGCGACUUUCUGGUCUGUAACUGACGCUGAGGCGCGAAAGCGUGGGGAGCAAACAGGAUUAGAAACCCCCGUAGUCC